This 426-nucleotide ribosomal RNA is filed under the name uncultured bacterium. RNAcentral describes it as "bacterial SSU rRNA". It matches the Rfam family "Bacterial small subunit ribosomal RNA", at positions 354 to 796 of the family's 1533-position model. The record is from RNAcentral.
GUGAGGAAUUUUCCGCAAUGGGCGAAAGCCUGACGGAGCAAUGCCGCGUGAAGGAUGAAGGCCUAUGGGUUGUAAACUUCUUUUCUCAGAAAAGAAUUAUGACGGUAUCUGAGGAAUAAGCAUCGGCUAACUCUGUGCCAGCAGCCGCGGUAAGACAGAGGAUGCAAGCGUUAUCCGGAAUGAUUGGGCGUAAAGCGUCUGUAGGUUGUUUAAAAAGUAUUCUGUCAAAGAUUAGGGCUUAACCCUAGAUAGGCAGAAGAAAUUUUUAAGCUAGAGUUUGGAAGAGGCAGAGGGAAUUCCCGGUGGAGCGGUGAAAUGCGUAGAUAUCGGGAGGAACACCAAAGGCGAAGGCACUCUGCUGGGCCAAUACUAACACUGAGAGACGAAAGCGAGGGGAGCAAAUGGGAUUAGAAACCCUGGUAGUCC